UCUCUCUCUCUUUGGAAAACUUAGCAAGGCACAGCUCUAUCACAGGAAAGAGAAAACAAAAGUGAAGAAUUCAAUUCCUUCCCAAUCAUCAAUGACAACGAAGAAGAACAAGAAGAAAAGAUUUGCUUAACCACAAACUUUGGAGAGGUGGAGGAAAUAGGAGAGAGAAACCAUCUUUGGGGUGGGAGUAAGAGCAAAACAAGAGAGAUGACAUGGCAUAACGACUCUGAAGACGAAAGAGCCAUCUAAAUAGUCUCGCCUUCUGCUCAACAAAAUGGUGUUAUCGAUGAAGAAGAAGCCGGUGAAGUUCGCUUCAUAAGAUGUCCUUCAUGUGGCCAUAAUAUAGAAUUGCAAAAUCGGGCGGGAAUUCAAGAUUUGCCGGGGUGAAGUUUGAUCCAUCUGAUCAAGAAAUUCUUGAACAUUUAGAAGCAAAAGUGUCAUCAAAUGCCCAUAAAAUUCAUCCUCUAAUUGAUGAAUUUAUUCCUACAACUGACGGGGAAAAUGGAAUUUGCCACACACACCCAGAAAAGUUGCCAGGUAAUUAAUCUUCUUUU
Molecule: non-coding RNA, 554 nt
Organism: Camellia sinensis
Lineage: Eukaryota; Viridiplantae; Streptophyta; Magnoliopsida; Ericales; Theaceae
Source: RefSeq, a predicted model, not a curated record